ACGCUCGACACCUACGAGAGGCAGCAGUGGGGAAUAUUGCACAAUGGGGGAAACCCUGAUGCAGCGACGCCGCGUGAGUGAAGAAGUAUUUCGGUAUGUAAAGCUCUAUCAGCAGGGAAGAAGAUGACGGUACAUGAGUAAGAAGCCCCGGCUAACUACGUUCCAGCAGCCGCGGUAAUCUGAGCGGGCUGGCAAGGC
This 198-nucleotide ribosomal RNA is filed under the name uncultured bacterium. RNAcentral's name for it is "partial 16S ribosomal RNA". It matches the Rfam family "Bacterial small subunit ribosomal RNA", at positions 328 to 539 of the family's 1533-position model. The record is from RNAcentral.